Molecule: long non-coding RNA, 3094 nt
Organism: Eriocheir sinensis (Chinese mitten crab)
Lineage: Eukaryota; Metazoa; Arthropoda; Malacostraca; Decapoda; Varunidae
Exons: 3
Source: RefSeq, a predicted model, not a curated record
CCUUAGUUUAUCUUGAAUAGUGUCAUAUAAAACAAACAUUUUAAAUGGGUUGAAUACUAUAAUAAAGUCAAUAGUAGUGAUAACAUUUUACAAAGUUUUUAUCCUGCGACAAAAUACUAGUCUAAGAAGAAUAUAGCAUUCACCCACUAUGUGAAUGUGAUCAUAAAAAUAAAUCAAUCAAAUAAUCUCAUCAGUAUAAAACAAAGUAUAAAAAAAUAUUACAAAGCAUGUAACGAGUACUUACACGAGGCUUGCAACGCUUCUUGAGAGGGGCAGUUGGUACCUCAUCAUCAAUUUGCUGCCUUUUUUGGGGUGCUCCAAACUUUGCCUUGAGGGCAACAAACUCUUUCAUAUGCAUCCUAAGGCACUUCAUUUUGGUUCUCAAUGACAUUCUCCAACAUUUCUGAAAAUCAUAACUAUGAAAAUUAAAUUUAUGACUAUAAAAUGUCAGUAUCAUACUAGUGAUUAAACAUGUAGAUUCUAUUUUGUUUCAUCAUUUCAAUUCCAAUAAUGUUAGUGUCUAAGUGAUGAUUGGCACUACCUUACUACUCAAAAUAAAUUCACUUACAGGAUCUCCAAGGUAGUUUAAGGUUUAAGGUUGGAAUCGUAAUCACCAGGAGGUACCCUUUCGACGUGAGCAAGUCCUCUGUAUCGUUGAACUACUACUGCCACGACCUCACUCACCACACACCCCAUAUCCCUUCCUCAAGAGAGGACAGGUACCACUCCUAGUCAACGGAAAGACUCCGGACUGAGCAAGCUCGAACCGUGAAGCCUGGCAGCGCAGCGCUCUAACCAGUUGCGCCAUCCAUGUGGGGGACCCCCUAGAGAGGAGUUCUCCCAAGUUGAGGAGGCCCUGCUCGACCUUCUUUCUCCCACAGGGUAUGCAAAUCUGCCCAUUUCUGACAGCGAGGGUGGUUCUUUGAGUAAGUAACUUGAUUAACCAUUUUCCGUAUGUUUCUUUGCCUAUACAUAGUCUCAAAACAGGAAUUAAUAUUAGAACACAGAAAUGGCUACUAAUAAAAUACAUAGGAUAUAAAUUUUGUCCAGACGAACUUAUGUCAUUACGAAUAUUUUCCAUAUUUUUUUUUUUUUACAACAAAGGAGGCAGCUCAAGGGCACACAAAAAAAGAAAACAAUAAUAAAAAAAAAGCCCGCUACUCGCUGCUCCUAAAAAAGAAACAAAAGAGGUGGCCGAAAGCAAGAUCAAAUACGGGAGGAGAGAUGUACUGAUACCCUCCUCUUGAAAGAGUUCAAGUCGUAGGCAGGAGGAGAUACAGUUGAAGGAAGAUUGUUCCAGAGUUUACCAGCGUGAGGGAUGAAAGAGUGAAGAUGCUGGUUAACUCUUGCAUAAGGGGUUUGGACAGUAUAGGGAUGAGCAUGAGUAGAAAGUCGAGUGAAGCGGGGCCGCGGGAGGGGGGAAGGCAUGCAGUUAGCAAGUUCAGAAGAGCAGUCAGCGUGGAAAUAUCGAUAGAAGAUAGAGAAGCAACAUUGCGGCGGAAUUUAAGAGGUAGAAGACUAUCAGUAUGAGGAGGAGAACUGAUAAGACGAAGAGCCUUAGCCUCCACUCUGUCCAGAAGAGCUGUGUGAGUGGAGCCCCCCCACACAUGAGAUGCAUACUCCAUACGAGGGCGGACAAGGCCCCUGUAUAUGGACAGCAACUGUGCAGGGGAGAAGAACUGGCGGAGACGGUACAGAACGCCCAGCCUCGAGGAAGCUGAUUUAGUAAGAGAUGAGAUAUGAAGUUUCCAGUUGAGAUUUUGAUUUAAGGAUAGACCGAGGAUGUUUAGUGUUGUGGAAGGUGAUAGCUGGGUGUUGUCAAAGAAUAAGGGAUAGUUGUUUGGAAGAUUGUGUCGAGUGGAUAGGUGGAGAAACUGUGUUUUUGAGGCGUUGAAGGACACCAGGUUCUUCUUGCCCCAAUCGGAAAUAAUAGUAAGGUCUGAGGCUAAGCGUUCUGCAGCCUCCAGCCUUGAGUCGUUAAGUUCCUGAAGGGUGGGUCUUCUAUUAAAAGAAGUUGAAUAAUGCAGAGUGGAAUCAUCGGCGUAGGAAUGGAUAGGACAGUUCGUUUUGGAAAGAAGAUCAUCAAUGAACAACAGAAAAAGAGUGGGAGAUUGGACAGAACCCUGUGGGACACCACUGUUAAUAGAUUUAGGGGAAGAACAGUGACCGUCUACCACGGCAGAAAUAGAACGGUCAGAAAGGAAACUGGAGAUAAAGGUACAGAGAGAAGGAUAGAAACCGUAGGAGGGUAGUUUAGAAAGCAAAGAUUUGUGCCAGACCCUAUCAAAAGCUUUUGAUAUGUCCAGCGCAAUAGCAAAAGUUUCACCGAAACGGCUAAGAGAAGAUGACCAAGAGUCAGUUAAGAAGGCUAGGAGAUCACCAGUAGAACGCCCCUUGCGGAACCCAUACUGGCGAUCAGAUAGAAGGUCAGAAGUGGAAAGGUGCUUUUGAAUCUUACGGUUAAGGAUUGAUUCAAAAGCUUUAGAUAGACAAGAAAGUAAAGCAAUAGGACGGUAGUUUGAGGGAUUGGAGCGGUCACCCUUCUUAGGUACAGGCUGUGUGAAGGCAUACUUCCAGCAAGAAGGAAAGGUAGAUGUUGACAGGCAGAGGCGAAAGAGUUUGACCAGGCAGGGUGACAGCACGGAGGCACAGUUUUAAGGACAAUAGGAGGCACUCCAUCAGGUCCAUAAGCCUUCUGAGGAUUGAGGCCAGAGAGGGCAUAGAAAACAUCAUUUUGAAGAAUCUUUAUAACAGGCAUAAAGGAGUCAGAGGGGGGAUGAGUAGGAGGAAUAUGCCCAGAAUCGUCCAGAGUGGAGUUUUUAGAAAAAGUUUGAGAGAAGAGUUCAGCCUUAGAGAUAGAUGAGACGGCAGUGUUGCCGUCAGGACUGAGGAGUGGAGGGAAAGAUGAAGAAGUGAAGUUGGAGGAGAUGUUUUUGGCUAGAUGCCAGAAGUCACGGGAAGAGUUAGAGAAAGCAAGGUUUUGACAUUUUCUAUUAAUGAAAGAAUUUUUCGUUAGUCGGAGAAUAGAUUUGGCACGAUUUCGGGCAGAAAUGUAAAGUUCAUAAUUAGCAUUAGUUUGAAGGCUCUGGUAUCU